AAAUACUUCAAAAUUUUAUAAUUAAAUCUACUUUCAAUACAGUGAGAAAUACUUAUAUAAUAAAUGGUUUUCAAAAUUUAAUUCUGAUUGACAAUUCAAGUUCCAUUUAUUUUCAAUUUUCAAAUUUAAGUUUUUUAUAAACUUUGGCUCAUUUCCAGUCAUGAUCAGUUCACAUGUCCUAUAUACAGGUGAUUUUAAUAGCUAUACCACACCACACCUGACCUCAUAAACAAUCACUUUACCUGGUCAGGUAGAUCUAUAAUUAUCCCAACAGGUACCAGUUGUGAGUAAGACAGUUGUUCUGUAACAACUGACCUCCAGGGUUGUAAAAUAAAUCAUUAUUGUGUUUACGGUCUGCCAAUAAACAGAGAAUGGGAGCUAUAAACACACAACAUCAAAGCUACCCAGGGGAGACAACUCUCAUUCACAAGUCGAAACAACAUCAGCUUCACCUGCUAACCACCAUAGAGGUUAUAUGUAUGUAGUCAAAUAACAGACAUAUGUUCUUUAUCAAAGGCCCAGGGAGUUAAUUUGAAUGCUUAGACUGACCACUGACCACAGGGGUUCAUCUCAUCCAACCAAUUAAAGCUGUAUCCCAAACAAAGACCUACAUCAUCAAAAUCAUGCAUUGUAAAAAAAACAGUUUUCCAGUAACAGUAUUCAAAAAAUAAAAAUAAAGAAAAAAACAAUUCAUAUUUGAAGUCUUGCAAAAGUCAUUAUUAGCUCAGAUAUGCAAUGUGUGUGAUCUGAACCAGUUUUCAGUAUUGUACCUAAGUGUACACCUGGUCAUGAAUCUCCUAAAAAUCUUCUAAGUUCUAUAAAAAUCUUUACCCUUUUGGUGCCUUAUGGAAACUAGAGAAAUCUUGACCCUUUUGGUGCCUCAUGAAAACAUUUACUUGUUGGCUGGUAUUGUAAUCUGGACUCUUUUAGAGCCAUAUGAAAACUAGAGAAAUCUUGGCCCUUUGGAGCCUCCUACAUGCAAUUGGCCCUUUUGGAGCCCCCUGAAAACAUCUAUCGAAAUCUUGGCCCUUUCGUACCUCCUGAAAGCUUUUAAAGAAGCCUUGGCCCUUCUGGUGCCUCUCAAGAGAAGCUCCAAAUGGACAGACCAUAAGGAAGCCUGUUUGUGAUAUCCCUGGAUGUAAAUAUUGAGGAUGUGAGUAACAAUGGAAAUCAACCUUGGACCAGGACACCUGUUCCUAAUGUGGCUGUGUUUAUUGGGUGAUAAAGGAAUUAGGGGAUCAGUCAUGCUCCUCCUAUGUUUAUGGUAUACUGAUGAGACCGACAGACAUAGUAAAUGUUCUCAAUAAUUGAUAUCCAAAAAUACUGUACAUGUACCAGGCAUUCACCAUAAUUAGUGCAUGCCUCUUCUCCAAUAAGCACCAAUUGCAAUCACACUAUUUUUGAAAGAUUUAUCUAUAAAUAAGCACACACACCCAUUCCACCCUAGUUCUGAUCAACUCAAGAUAAUUUGUAAUAAUCAGUUUACACCAUAAAUACAUGCACAUAUGGCAAUGGCAUGUGUCUUAACUUAUGUAUUAAAUUUUUUCAAUUAUAAUUUUCAAUAUUCUUGAAAAAGAACCAUAACAAUUUCCAUAUAACAUUGUCUUUAAUGAAAUAACGAGACACAUGGAAACACUUCUGUUACAGCAGGUAACUUGGUGAGUUUGUAUAGCUAAUAAACUGCAAAACCAGCCACCAGACGUUUGGCCUGAAAAACCAAAACAUACAGUGUAUGUCUGUUUCAACAACUUCAUGUUGAUACACAAGCAUUCUCAGGUUAAAUACACUGAGAUGUAUGUACUGAAUGAUCGCAUUUCUUUUUAUACCCAGAAAUGUUGCAUAGACUUCUCUAAGGGCUUUUGUGACCCAAAAAUGUUAUAGAAGAAGAAAAAAAUUCAGACUGCAGAUUGCCACAACAUCUACCAGUAUCCAACAUAUGGUGUUUUAAAACAAUAUUCAAGUUGGUAGCACUCCUACUUUCAUUCUAUGGAAGGCUACAUACACAUUAUACCCACCAUCUCAAUGACAUCCUGUAUGAGUAUGUGAUUGCCUCUUCAGAUUAAUGACUGUAUCAAAUUCUAUAUCUAUACAAUUGUAUUCAAAUAUCAGGUUUCUAUAAUUCCUUAUCAAAAGGAGUAUAUGAACAUAAUUACUGCAUCCAUUAGCAAACUUCAAUUCUUUUUUCCUUAGUUUUGUCAUCUACUUGUCUUCUUCGUAACAAUGACUUCUGCAGUUAAGUUUUUCUGACUUUUUCAAAAUUACCUGUACAUAAUCUUAAUGAUCUUUUUAAACAGCAGCAUACAUUUGAUGACUUCAGAAGUUCAGAACACACAGUUGGAAGGUUUUUAUCCAGGACUAAUACAACCAUGAUAUUUACAUGUUUAUGAGGAUGUGGAUGCAGUAAUGGAAAAUCUACAUGAUGUAUAUAUACGGAAAACAUAAUUCAAACCACCAGACCUUGGAUACCUGUAUAGGCUGAUGCUAUAUAACAAUUAUCUCCUAAUCUAAUAGACCGGGCAUGCUGGUAGAAUCUCAUCUGGGUUCUAUACAUGCCAGGACCAAAUUUUCCAGAAACAAUCUUAAGGAGGCACAUUUCUCAAGACAGAAAAUUAGAAACACUUCAUACGCUGUAAUUAUCUAUUUGACUAUAUCUAUUUUUGUUUUAUAUAUUGCAGCAUACCCCCCCCCCCCCAAAAAAAAAAAUAAGAAACAGGGAAAAAGAAAUCAAAAAGAGGCAUGAAAAUGCGGACAAACUAACAAUUUCAAUUCCAAAGCUGAAAUCUUCUGUAACGCGUUUGUUUCUUCAUCAUAAAUCCUUACAAGUAUAUAUUUGCUAUACCCCUUUUUUGACUUUUUCUUUUAUCAUUGAUUAUAGAGUAAUUGAAUGAAGAUGAAAAAAUAUGAUCAUACCUAUUUAAUAACUAUGUUAUAUGCUUUAUAAUUUUAUAAUUGUAAUGUUGUAUAUAAUGUACAUUUUAUAUGACUUGACCAUAGACGUGAUGUCAAUAUGUUCUCAUCAGGUUUAAAUAAAGUCUAUUAUUAUCAGCUCA
Molecule: long non-coding RNA, 3050 nt
Organism: Pecten maximus
Lineage: Eukaryota; Metazoa; Mollusca; Bivalvia; Pectinida; Pectinidae
Exons: 2
Source: RefSeq, a predicted model, not a curated record